UUGUGUUUGUGACCCUCAGAUCCAAGCUGACCAACGAUGACUUCAGGAAGCUUCUGAUGACCCCGAGAGCCACUCCGUCCUCGGCUCCACCCUCAAAAACACGCCACCAUGAGAUGCCACGGGAAUACAAUGAAGAUGAGGAUCCCGCAGCUCGCAGACGUAAG
Molecule: non-coding RNA, 164 nt
Organism: Danio rerio (zebrafish)
Lineage: Eukaryota; Metazoa; Chordata; Actinopteri; Cypriniformes; Danionidae
Source: RefSeq, a predicted model, not a curated record